GCUAGACAGUUUCUGGCAGGUUCUCAUUGAACACUCGCUUCUGAAAGACUGCUACUUGCUCCCUUUGAGGUCCCAGCCCUGGUCAACAGUCCCAGCUGAGCCUGUAUUUAGCCAUUUCAGCUCAGACUCCAGGCUUGUGAAGAAAGAUGCCAUCUUGUAGGUGGACCCUCCAGUCCAAGCUCAUCAGCACUUGCUCCUUGAAUGAAGAUGAAUGAGUCAGAGAGUUCAUUUGGAAUUUGAGUUUACCAAGAUAUGAAAGGCAAAGGUGUCUUCGUUUUAUUUCCAAAAAAGCAACAGCAACAGUCCUUAGAAGAAAAGUGAAAAAGUGACUAAGGCUGGAUGAAAGCAGACACAGCCAAAAGAUUGAUUUCAUAAACUGCAAGGGGACAAAAAGAGGUUAAGAGCUCAGCCACUGGUCGGAGGCCACUGCAGGCCAAGGAAAGGUUCUACCCUCAUAAUAGAGAGCAAGCAGUGCUGGAGAUUGUCAACUCUAUCAUGACCUGCAACUGAAACCAGAGUGAUUUCUCUAUGUCCCUGGAAUUAUGGGAAUAAGAAGAAGGAGGCGAAAUUCUAUUUUUUCUCAUCUAUGUUAUUCAGAAUAAAAAUAAAAUCAUUCUUAAUUGCC
This is a long non-coding RNA of Homo sapiens (human), 625 nucleotides long. RefSeq lists it as uncharacterized. The transcript is spliced from 5 exons. The record is from RefSeq and is a predicted model, not a curated record. NCBI's taxonomy places the organism in Eukaryota, Metazoa, Chordata, Mammalia, Primates, Hominidae.